Molecule: long non-coding RNA, 1277 nt
Organism: Arachis stenosperma
Lineage: Eukaryota; Viridiplantae; Streptophyta; Magnoliopsida; Fabales; Fabaceae
Exons: 3
Source: RefSeq, a predicted model, not a curated record
CCUACUUAUUUUGGUGAAGUUAUCUGUACAGACAUCAAUAUGGGGACUACUCCACCCUCUAUCGUUGCAAUGAGGGUUCUUCCUAUGGAAAUGAAUGAUGUAUGCACCUUUGAGGCAGACAUUGAAUAUUCUGGAGGUGCAGUAGUAGAGAUUGAAACAAGGCUUGAAGUUGGUGAACCACAGAACGAUAAGGGGACGGAAUGCUCAAGCAAUGCUGGGGCUGCCCCGUCAGAUCUUGAAGAUCUUAGCAAUCAGUUGAAUCUUGGAGACGGAGUGAAUGAUUCACAAGAGCCAAAGUAGAUGUCAAUGGGAACACUGACGUGUCUAAAGUUUCUAGGAGUACAUCUUCCUCAUUUUACGGAUCAAAAUGGAAAUCUAUGUUAAAUUCUCUUGCCAAGCAUGUUUCACAGGAAGCAUUCCGAGAAACUUUAGUGCUCCCGAACUCUGAGUGCAUAAGCAUUUCAUGGAUGCUGGCUGAAAAGGAGAAUUGGAUUCCUCGGACUGUUGCUCCAUACAUGUGGGUUAAACAAGAAUGUGGACACGAUACCUCUGCUUCAAAUGAUAAAACUAGCAAGGAUAUCAGUUGAUGGUUCGGGGCUAACAUCCCAAAACCAACAUGGGGCCAAGUCUAUAGUAGAACCAGUUAGGAAAUCGUUUUCUUUCGGAUGAGCAUCGUCUUCCUCUUGUCCAAUAGUAUUAAAGAGCAGCCAAAGUUUUGACCAACUGUCAACACCUUUUCUAGAGGCUUACAUAAUGCAAGAAACUGAGGAUUUGAAAGAACUUCCAGCAUCUUCCAUAGAGAAUGAGAAUAGAGAUGAAACACGGGAAGAGAAGACGGAGGAUAUUACUGUCUAUGAACCACAAACACUCUAUUCUCUGCUUAUGGAUAAACAAGUUAGUCCAUCUAAACAGAAAAAAAUCGGGAAGAGGGAAAAGAUGUUUGAUUUGCAAAAGAGGAUGAGCGAGAAGUUGGAAGAAAAGAGGCGUCACUUUGUUGAAUGAGAAAAUGAGAACAAAAGUAGAGAUCAGAACUCUGAUUUCUGUUACUGAUUUGUUGAUCAUGUCAGAUAUUAGCAACCAUUCUUAAAGAAUCUUUUGAUUGAUGAAUUGUACAUCUUAUAGGUUCUUAGAAGAUCUAAUUUAACUAGAUGUAUACUUUACUAAGUGUCAGAAAUUACUGUUAAUGCAUUCCAUGGAGUUACAAAUCCACAGGGUAACAUAGAAGAUUCAUUUAAUUGUUGAUUAACAAAUUAUAUGACACAGACAUGCUAUAGAGA